Molecule: ribosomal RNA, 1446 nt
Filed under: uncultured organism
Description: SSU rRNA
Rfam family: Bacterial small subunit ribosomal RNA
Source: RNAcentral
CGCUAGCUACAGGCUUAACACAUGCAAGUCGAGGGGCAUCAGGAAGAAAGCUUGCUUUCUUUGCCGGCGACCGGCGCACGGGUGAGUAACACGUAUCCAACCUGCCCUUUACUCGGGGAUAGCCUUUCGAAAGAAAGAUUAAUACCCGAUAGCAUAAUGAUUCCGCAGGGUUUCAUUAUUAAAGGAUUCCGGUAAAGGAUGGGGAUGCGUCCCAUUAGGUUGUUGGUGAGGUAACGGCUCACCAAGCCUUCGAUGGAUAGGGGUUCUGAGAGGAAGGUCCCCCACAUUGGAACUGAGACACGGUCCAAACUCCUACGGGAGGCAGCAGUGAGGAAUAUUGGUCAAUGGGGGCUAGCCUGAACCAGCCAAGUAGCGUGAAGGAUGAAGGCUCUAUGGGUCGUAAACUUCUUUUAUAUAAGAAUAAAGUGCAGUAUGUAUACUGUUUUGUAUGUAUUAUAUGAAUAAGGAUCGGCUAACUCCGUGCCAGCAGCCGCGGUAAUACGGAGGAUCCGAGCGUUAUCCGGAUUUAUUGGGUUUAAAGGGAGCGUAGGUGGACUGGUAAGUCAGUUGUGAAAGUUUGCGGCUCAACCGUAAAAUUGCAGUUGAUACUGUCAGUCUUGAGUACAGUAGAGGUGGGCGGAAUUCGUGGUGUAGCGGUGAAAUGCUUAGAUAUCACGAAGAACUCCGAUUGCGAAGGCAGCUCACUGGACUGCAACUGACACUGAUGCUCGAAAGUGUGGGUAUCAAACAGGAUUAGAUACCCUGGUAGUCCACACAGUAAACGAUGAAUACUCGCUGUUUGCGAUAUACAGUAAGCGGCCAAGCGAAAGCAUUAAGUAUUCCACCUGGGGAGUACGCCGGCAACGGUGAAACUCAAAGGAAUUGACGGGGGCCCGCACAAGCGGAGGAACAUGUGGUUUAAUUCGAUGAUACGCGAGGAACCUUACCCGGGCUUAAAUUGCAGUGGAAUGAUGUGGAAACAUGUCAGUGAGCAAUCACCGCUGUGAAGGUGCUGCAUGGUUGUCGUCAGCUCGUGCCGUGAGGUGUCGGCUUAAGUGCCAUAACGAGCGCAACCCUUAUCUUCAGUUACUAACAGGUCAUGCUGAGGACUCUGGAGAGACUGCCGUCGUAAGAUGUGAGGAAGGUGGGGAUGACGUCAAAUCAGCACGGCCCUUACGUCCGGGGCUACACACGUGUUACAAUGGGGGGUACAGAAGGCAGCUAGCGGGUGACCGUAUGCUAAUCCCAAAAUCCUCUCUCAGUUCGGAUCGAAGUCUGCAACCCGACUUCGUGAAGCUGGAUUCGCUAGUAAUCGCGCAUCAGCCACGGCGCGGUGAAUACGUUCCCGGGCCUUGUACACACCGCCCGUCAAGCCAUGGGAGCCGGGGGUGCCUGAAGUACGUAACCGCAAGGAUCGUCCUAGGGUAAAACUGGUGACUGGGGCUA